CAUUAAGUGGCUGAAACAAUAAGCACCGGUCUCUUAAACCGUAAUAUAGUAAGUAAUAUCUACUCUUAAUGG
This 72-nucleotide transfer RNA is filed under the name Gorpis annulatus. RNAcentral describes it as "tRNA-Lys". Lineage: Eukaryota; Metazoa; Arthropoda; Insecta; Hemiptera; Nabidae. The record is from RNAcentral.